RNAcentral lists this ribosomal RNA (505 nucleotides) under uncultured archaeon. RNAcentral describes it as "bacterial SSU rRNA". It matches the Rfam family "Archaeal small subunit ribosomal RNA", at positions 354 to 859 of the family's 1478-position model. The record is from RNAcentral.
AAUGUACGAAAGUGCGACGGGGGGAUCCCAAGUGUUAUGCUUUUUUGUAUGACUUUUCAUUAGUGUAAAAAGCUUUUAGAAUAAGAGCUGGGCAAGACCGGUGCCAGCCGCCGCGGUAACACCGGCAGCUCGAGUGGUAGCUGUUUUUAUUGGGCCUAAAGCGUUCGUAGCCGGUUUGAUAAGUCUUUGGUGAAAGCUUGUAGCUUAACUAUAAGAAUUGCUGGAGAUACUAUUAGACUUGAAGUCGGGAGAGGUUAGAGGUACUACCGGGGUAGGGGUGAAAUCCUAUAAUCCUGGGAGGACCACCUGUGGCGAAGGCGUCUAACUGGAACGAUCUUGACGGUGAGUAACGAAAGCCAGGGGCGCGAACCGGAUUAGAUACCCGGGUAGUCCUGGCCGUAAACGAUGUGGACUUGGUGUUGGAAUGGCUUUGAGUUGUUCCGGUGCCGAAGGGAAGCUGUUAAGUCCACCGCCUGGGAAGUACGGUCGCAAGACUGAAACUUAA